AGAAGCGUAAUCUUGCAACAGGCGAGAGCUGCACCCGGAAGCAAGGAUGGAACGGGAGCGGCCCCAUUGAUCAAUGGCCUCCCGAGAACUGCCGAGAACAUCAAUUGAGACAGAAGCGCUUCAGGUGUGGCCCCUGGACCAGCAGCAUCCACCUCACCUGGGAACAUGUUGGAAAUGCAAGUUCUCCCCCUCCCCAGAUCUCCUAAAUCAGAUCCUCAGGGGCGAGGCCAGCACGCUGUGUUUGAACAAACCCUCGCACUGAUUCAGACGCAUGCUCUGCCACAGGCACAAGGUGACAGGUGUCAAGGGAACACAGAAAGACAGAGAGACGAAGGGGAGCUACUGGCAGUACCAACAGCCAAGACCUGGGGCCCUCUCCUCCUGCCUCCAGGAGGCCUGAUUUUCCCUUCCCUGCCUCCCUGCAGAAGUUCAAGGCUGUUCUUUAUGAAAGAACUUACAGGUGGCCUCAGGCCCCCUGUUGAAGGUCAUGGUAUCUUCCCUCUUGUCCUUUCCCAGUCCAGGAGCACUCGGCCGUGACCCCCGAGAGAUCCAUGCCCUGUCAUGCGCCUGCCUCUCAGCCUCUCCCCAGGCUAACUGCUGCAGUGCCAAGGAGGGCCCUGCCCUUUGCCUCUGUGCCCCCAUUGCCAGGGUUUCCUGUUCAGCUGUGAAGGGCUCCCUCGAUUGCUCCAGAGUCUGGAAUUUGGGAACACUUCAAGCAGAAAGUUUAUAAUUCACCUCCCAAUUCUUUCAGCCCUGUGAACUGCCUACUGCUUGAAAAACAAAAAACAUCAAGUGACUGCUGAUUAUGGACUAGAACAGAAAUCAUGCAAAUAUUCUUACUUUGGCUAAGUUAAAAUAGAUUCCAAGGCACAGGCUUUGGCAUGGCAGAAGCCAGGGCCCUCCAUCCAGAUUGGCUGUACCAGGUGACUUCCCUGAGCCCGCAGUUUUCUCACUGAAAAUAAUAAUAAUUGCUAUUACUGUUAUCAGCAUAAUAGCAGAAUUUGUAAGCCCUUUGUCCUUCCAGCCUCUCUCAGAGGUAGGGUGGGGCAGCAGUUCUCUCACUGCUCAUUAGAAUCCCCUGGGGAGGUUUUAAAAUGCAGAUUCCCAGGCUACACUGGGACCAAGAGAGCCCCAGGAUGGCCCAGCCGUCUGCAUUUCUUCAAGCCCUCCUCUGUCCUUGGGUGGGACUAUUGCCCACUGGCCUGUGUUUUCGUUCCUUGGAAAUGGCCCCUCAGUUUUUUUUAUGGGGACCCUACCCACUUCCCUCAGACACACGCACCUCAGGGUGUGACACAGGCCAGGUGGUCAGAGUCAACUCCAGGGGCUUGCAGGCCUUGGCCCUCACACUUGGGUUACAUAAACCACUGCAAAGAACUUAACCGAAGCCAACAUAUGGCAAAUUUUAAAACUAUUAACUUCAUUUAAG
RNAcentral lists this long non-coding RNA (1426 nucleotides) under Homo sapiens (human). RNAcentral describes it as "HSALNT0402107". The record is from RNAcentral. Lineage: Eukaryota; Metazoa; Chordata; Mammalia; Primates; Hominidae.